GAAGGAGAGGGGAGAAAAUACAGGGGAAAAAAAGCAGAGCUACAGCAUAGUCUGAAAACCAUACAUCAGACCGACAUCUGUGGAGAUAUAAUCGAAACGAAAUGUGAAACAGAAAUGUUCUAAGAUGCCAGUAACAUCCUUUUGAAAACUGGAAAUGCUCAAGAUAAACUACAGAUCCUGCACAAAUUACAUGAAGUUCAAUUUUUCACUGUUUAUUUUAAACAGUGGACACUUUUAGAUAAGCUAAGCCUUUGGUGGCAGACAAGAUCGUGGGAUUUCUCCACAGGAUGAUGCCAGAUUGGUUUUCUUUAAGGGAAUGGAAGGAUGCCAACAAAUGGUAACUGGAAGCAAUGGAACUUUAUCCCAUUAGGCAAAUAUUACCUAUAGUUGGGAUUUUCCAGCCCUGUCAAAGGUGGGACCAGCUGCAGGCAAGGCGGUGCCUCAGCCAGAAGCCCAUUGACUUGUGAUGGGACAGGAAGAACGCGACAGCAGGCAGAUGCAGAAAAUCCAGCCCAAUGUAUCAUGCUUUUCGCAAACAAAGAAAAAUUUCCCACUUUUCCAUGCAGAUGGCAAUCCUUUAAAUGUGCCGUAGUUAUGUAUCUCCAUAAAUGAAAACUGGCUGUUGUUAUAUUUACUUAAUAAAUUGUGAUUUCAUAGCAAUGGAACACAUUAGUUUAGAUUCACA
Carcharodon carcharias (great white shark) is the source of this 685-nucleotide long non-coding RNA. RefSeq lists it as uncharacterized. The transcript is spliced from 3 exons. The record is from RefSeq and is a predicted model, not a curated record. NCBI's taxonomy places the organism in Eukaryota, Metazoa, Chordata, Chondrichthyes, Lamniformes, Lamnidae.